Molecule: small nuclear RNA, 112 nt
Organism: Rhineura floridana
Lineage: Eukaryota; Metazoa; Chordata; Lepidosauria; Squamata; Rhineuridae
Product: U5 spliceosomal RNA
Exons: 1
Source: RefSeq, a predicted model, not a curated record
AGACUCUGGUUUCUUUUUAAAUCACAAAAAUCUUUCACCUUUUACUAAAGAUUUCUGUGGAAAGAAAGAUAGGGAGACUUUUUUCUCCUUCAUGAAUACUACUACUAGAACC